GCUUGAAGGAAUGCGUUGCUUCUCAUUCCGUGUGGUUACGCUCGAAAAUCAGAAUCGGGAACACAACGACUUGGGUCGGGAUUACGACAGCACAAAGAGAAAGUUGGAUGAUUCAAGAGUAACCACGAUAGUUAGACUCUGAUUAGACGUGGAUUGCCGGCGUUAAUGCCCGGUGAAAAUCAACGAAGCUGACCAAACGACGGUGGUCGACACCAGUGCAGUGCAAAGGGAAGGACAGAGUAAACGAGUAAAAGGGUAAAACGGAGCUGCGAUGCAAUGGAUCGACAAACUGAUGCGGCUGCAUCGUCUGCGGCAAAUUGAUUUACUUGACAAAGAUUAAGUUACCGAAUUAGAGUUGUAUCCAGGCCAACACGUUCGAUCGUUAUUCGAACUUAACGCUACUAC
RNAcentral lists this unclassified non-coding RNA (405 nucleotides) under Bombus terrestris (buff-tailed bumblebee). Its description in RNAcentral is "misc RNA ENSBTSG00005022247.1". The record is from RNAcentral. Lineage: Eukaryota; Metazoa; Arthropoda; Insecta; Hymenoptera; Apidae.